Molecule: long non-coding RNA, 580 nt
Organism: Passer domesticus (house sparrow)
Lineage: Eukaryota; Metazoa; Chordata; Aves; Passeriformes; Passeridae
Exons: 2
Source: RefSeq, a predicted model, not a curated record
UUCAUGCAUAGAACCAGACAUGCUCUACACCUAAUGCCAAAAAAAGCCUGCAAAGUUCUCCUCUGCUACAAAGCAACACAAAAAGCCCUCCUAGUCCAUCACCUGUUGCUCAAGGCAUGUAAGAGUAGAAACACAGUGAGCCCCUAGAGCCCACACUGAGAAGCUGAGCACUGAGAAGGGACCAGGAUGUGAGGAACCACAUUAGUGGUCUUUGGCAACUAUUUCUGCUGAGCAAAAGCCAGAAGGCUUGUUCCAGCUGGACCUUCCUUCGUUCUAGAAAGCAGCAAACAAGGAAAAGCACUACUUUAAUUACAUUUAGAAGUUUCUCCUAGGAGAGAGAGGAGAGGCUUUACAAGGACUACCUCAAGAAGAGGACAUAGAAUGGAGGGAAGGCCUUAGAAAGAAUAAACAACCCUCAUGCUGCUGCUUUUGGAAGGAAUAAAUGUCCAAGUUACUUAAUAUCCAGACACAAAUCUGUGGAGUCUUGACAGCCAAGAAGCACAGGAACCUGGACACCUUGUUGUGAGAGACUAGAGGAGAUUGCUGGCUCAACACUUUUCAGGGGCUUGUAUGUGGGGAA